AUUAUUUUGUAUCCAGAGCUUGUGGUGACAACACUUAUAACAUGGAUUGUAGAAUUUUCGCGUGGUAGUCAAAGGAAUACCAUGUGACCCCCGGCAUCGCCUGGAAGCAUGGUGGACUGGUCAGCCUGAUGCAGAUGGGACGACAUAAAUAUGCACUAUAACGGAAUUAUUCACUAAUGGGUUACAUAAUUUUUCGGAUCAUGUAAUUGUCUAAACGCCUUAACGCAUAUUUAUGUAUUUUAUUAUACACAAAAUAUAACUUAUCUUACAAAUAA
Long non-coding RNA from Ctenocephalides felis (cat flea), 275 nucleotides. RefSeq lists it as uncharacterized. The transcript is spliced from 3 exons. NCBI's taxonomy places the organism in Eukaryota, Metazoa, Arthropoda, Insecta, Siphonaptera, Pulicidae. The record is from RefSeq and is a predicted model, not a curated record.